UUGGGGUGGACAGCUAGUUGGUCCUCUCCUUCAUCAAUGUUAUGUUGUUACCAAUAUUGGUAAAAAUAUUUAUGCUAUGUGUCUUCAGUUAUCCUCAGGGUACCACAAGAACAGCAACACAAACUUGAAUGUGAGCCCUUACAUAAAUAUUUGAGCAGAAAUUUGGUGAAAAUAACACAGGGUAUGAUAACAGAAAUCUGCUCCAUUGUCAUAAAAAAGAUUUAUAUAUUUAUGUAUAUUUAUAUCCCUUUUACCUGUCAUGUUUGAAAUGCUUUAAUUUCUAACCAUCUUAUGUUGUUGAGUGUUCUUAUAUACUUAUUAACAAAAAGAAAGUUUGUGUUUAAGUCACAACAAGAAGCUCUUGAUCCCUUUCCAGCCGGAUGUACAAGAAACAAGAACUAACACUGAGGCUGAAAGUGUUCUCCGGGACAGUUAAAAACAACUUUAUUUAGCAUUUUUAUUACUGAUUGGAAAUAGUUGCAUAACAAAAUAAUGUUCAGCAGUACAUAUGUUUAUGCAACAGAAAAAAACAAAAAACAAAUACAAAGUGCUCUGCUUCCACAAACCUCUAAUCUUUUCAGUAUAUCUCUUUGUUUAACUGAAAGCUGGACCUUUUUCUUUCCUUCUGGUUAUAUUUAACUCUAAAAGUGUCCAAUGUUAACCAUUUAGUCGAACAAACAAAAGCAGCACAGAUAUAAAAGCAAGACAAAGUUGGACAUCAUGCAUGGCUGCUUACUGUCCUCUAGUGGUCAUUGGGAGGUACUAAACAUCUGAUAAAUUAACAACAGCGGGUUUGUAAGGGGUCAAAGAGCCCCGAUGUCAUCCCACCUCUGAAACUUAGACUUACAUCAGCAAGUUAAACACUGAUUCAAUUGUUUUAACUUUUAAAUCAUUGUUUAUUGAUUUUAAAAUGAUUAUUCCUCCUCACCUUUGAGCUGCACCCAUGGUCAGCUCUUAAAAAUCACAUUAAACUUGUCACAUUUUGUAAAAUGAUCCAAAGUAGCUUCACAAUUAACUUUAACUGGAAAUUUCCUCUGAUACUGGAGUGAAGGACUGCAUGACUCAGCUCCUCUGAGCUUUUCUGUUUAGUCACUGUACAAGUCUGUGACACACUUCUUUCCAUUUAUCAGCCCUCUAGCUCCUCCUCUGCUUAUUUCACCUGUGGCCUACAGUUGGAGACUUUUGCCCGACUUCAGAGGAAUUAUAUAAUUACUUUGGCCUGUUGCAAUAGUGUUCUUAUUGUAGCAAAGUGCUGAUAGCAUGUCACAGAUAAAUAUCAAAUCGUUGCAAUAUGGC
Xyrichtys novacula (pearly razorfish) is the source of this 1296-nucleotide non-coding RNA. The record is from the annotation of a GenBank genome assembly. Lineage: Eukaryota; Metazoa; Chordata; Actinopteri; Labriformes; Labridae.